RNA transcript from Dioscorea cayenensis subsp. rotundata (Guinea yam), 2441 nucleotides. RefSeq lists it as uncharacterized. NCBI's taxonomy places the organism in Eukaryota, Viridiplantae, Streptophyta, Magnoliopsida, Dioscoreales, Dioscoreaceae. The transcript is spliced from 15 exons. The record is from RefSeq and is a predicted model, not a curated record.
CUCUAGAUCAACCUUGUUGCUCCGUAUCAAUCAUGUUCUAAGUGGUUGUUACUAAGAGGCCACAAUUUGAUAGUGUAGUGCAUUUUUUGGCCUUGGCUGAUGUUAGGUUAUUUCAACAUCAAUGGCAUUCUCAUGGAGGAGCCCAUGUCAGUUGUUUUCCAAGUUGGAGCAAAUGGGGUUGGGUUGCUGGAUCCUGGUUCAGAAGCAAAUAAUUUGAAAAGGGUGCCGAAGUUGAUCUCCCCUUUUAGCUUGCUCAUGAGUUAUACUCGCGGCGAGCAGCGUCAACAAAUGUGUGUGCUUGCUUCAAUCAAAAGUAAGUUUUGUUCUCCUCCUCCAUGCUCUAAAUUGUGAAGUGAUAAUUUGCAAGCACUGCCACAUGUGAUCAGAGAAUGGUGUUUUGAUCUUGUACUUAUCAACCUUUGCCAAAAAAAUUUGAGAAAUUUGAAGUGAUAAUUCGCAAGUGAUAGUUUGAGAAAUUUGGAUAAAGAAAGCGGCUUAUUGUAGCUUUUCUCUAGUCAAAUCCUUCUGGGGAUCGAGUGCUUUAUCUUGGUGAAUUAACUUAUAUCAUUUUUAUAACAAGGUCACUCCAAUUUUCUUUCACUAUUAACUUGCUUAAUAGGCUAUUAUUGAUGCUGCUUCGUAUGUCCCACCUCCACCUUCAGAAGAGCAAAAGAAGAGGAUUCAAAAAUUGUAUGUAACGUAUGUUUAAUUUGUCACUGUGCUGGUCUUUGCUCAUCUGAUAUUAUCCAUUGCUAAUGAUAACAAGCUUGAACAUGUAGUAGAUCCACAAGUGUUUCACUGGUGUUGCCUUUGCAUUAUAAUGCCUUUUGUGAUUUAGUUGUGACUUUGUAACCUGGAUUUUAGAAGGGCUGCUAUCGGAGAACAUAAGAGAAUGUAGAACAAGAAAGCUCUCUCACAGAAAAAACAGAGACAGUUGGGACUGAUCAUCAGGCCUUAUAGAAGACCAGAAUGGCCACAAAAAGCAUAAGGAGGGUACCAGACGCUUGAUUCUAUGCUUGGGAAAGGAGGAUGCAAGGGAACUCUUUCCAAGGUCCAAUUCCUUCAAGCUUUGCUAAUCUCACGAAAUUGACUGAUUUAAGGAUUGGAGACCUCCUAAGUUCAGGAUCUUCUUUGGCAUUUAUUAGCAACCUGACUUCCUUAAGCAUCUUGGUCUUAAGAAACAACAAGAUAUCUGGUGCUAUCCCAUAGGACUUCGCAAAAUAUACAAGUUUGCAAAUGUUGGAUUUGAGCUUCAACAAUAUAACAGGAACGUUACCCGACUCUCUUUUCAAUUUGACCUCGCUCGGUUACUUAUUCCUUGGAAAUAAUAGCCUCUGGGAGCCUGCCCACUCAAAAGAGCUCAUCCCUUCUCAAUGUAGAUUUAUCCUAUAAUAAACUUGCAGGAAGUUUUCCUUCUUGGAUUAGCCAGAAAAAUUUACAUCUGAAUUUGGUGGCAAAUAACUUUGUGACUGAUGAUUCUAAUAGCAGUGACCUUCAGCAAAUAACAUCACUGGGAGGCUGUCAGAGUCACUAGGCAAUCUGAAAAACGUUACUUGUGCGUCAUUAUUAUUUUCUUGCUCUAAAUAAUAAAAAGAAGCUUAGUUCACACACACAUGAUACACUUGUGUGUCUGUGUAUAUAUAUACCUACAACACAUCUUAAUAUUGUGUAAUUAAGAAGAUUUGGAGAUUGUACAUGUGUGGAUAUAUAUGAAGAUGAAAGCUAAUUGUUGGUACUGCAUAGUUUUGCUUGUUUUUCUGCAGGUGAUAAUGAUGAUGAUGAUGAACACAAUGCCAAUUGCUGCUCUUGCUGCUUUUGAAGAAUAUAAUAAUGCUUCUGAUGUUCUUGGACGAUAUGAGAAUUGGUUGCUGGCAUCAACUUUAAUGGCUAGGAAGAGAUGUGGUCGAAUACCCACUCCAAGCCGAUAUCUUGGUGCGAGGACCUUCCAUUGGAAAAUUUCUCCAUUAGAAGGGUGGAAUGAACAUGGAGACACAAUGAUCGACAUUGAGAAAAUAUGAUUCAGAAAAAUAAACUACUCAGCAAUUUAUUGCUUCUAUCCCUCCAGAGGUUAUAAGUAAGUUGGAAUGAAAGAGUAGAAGCAGCAGAACUAGUACAUCCUUUCGCUCUUACUAUCUCAAGGUAUUCAAGUAAAUUUUGAGAUAGCUCUUUGUACUUCACAUGCUAUUAUCAGAACGGAGGAAGCUUUCUUCCCAUGCCCCUCACACUUCAGAGGAUAUUAAAUAGCCUCAACCUUCAGCCCAAUAGGAAGAUAAGGGUGUUGAUAAAAUUACAACAAAAUGAAUGUAAUAUUUUGGAUCAUUACAUUAGAUAUUUUUAUAAUUUUUUGUUAUAUUAGAUGUUUAGACUAUUAUAUUUUGUAUUGGCUUGUCUUAUUAAAUGUUUGGACGGUUACAUUUUGUAUUGGUUUGUUGUAUUAUAUG